GCGAUUGUAGCUCAGUUGGUAGAGCGUCGGAUUGUGGUUCCGGAUGUCGCCGGUUCGAGCCCGGUCAGUCGCC
This 73-nucleotide transfer RNA is filed under the name Candidatus Ancillula hodotermitis. RNAcentral describes it as "tRNA-His". It matches the Rfam family "tRNA". Rfam says of the family: Transfer RNA (tRNA) molecules are approximately 80 nucleotides in length. Lineage: Bacteria; Bacillati; Actinomycetota; Actinomycetes; Bifidobacteriales; Bifidobacteriaceae. The record is from RNAcentral.